ACGUUAGUUGCUAACGCGUGAAGGCGAGCACUCUAGACGAACUGCCGUUGCAAAACGGAGGAAGGUGGGGAUGACGUCAAAUCAUCAUGCCCCUUAUGUUCUGGGCUACACACGUGCUACAAUGGCCGGUACAGACGGACGCAAAGCCGCGAGGUGGAGCAAAUCCUAAAAAGCCGGUCUCAGUUCGGAUUGCAGGCUGCAAUUCGCCUGCAUGAAGUCGGAAUCGCUAGUAAUCGCAGGUCAGCAUACUGCGGUCGAAUACGUUCCGGCCUU
This 273-nucleotide ribosomal RNA is filed under the name uncultured Bacillus sp. RNAcentral's name for it is "partial 16S ribosomal RNA". It matches the Rfam family "Bacterial small subunit ribosomal RNA", at positions 1107 to 1374 of the family's 1533-position model. The record is from RNAcentral. Lineage: Bacteria; Bacillati; Bacillota; Bacilli; Caryophanales; Bacillaceae.